AGAACUUGAAACCGUGUGCUUACAAGUAGUCAGAGCCCGUUAAUGGGUGAUGGCGUGCCUUUUGUAGAAUGAACCGGCGAGUUACGAUCUGAUGCAAGGUUAAGCAGAAAAUGUGGAGCCGUAGCGAAAGCGAGUCUGAAUAGGGCGAAUGAGUAUUUGGUCGUAGACCCGAAACCAGGUGAUCUACCCUUGGUCAGGUUGAAGUUCAGGUAACACUGAAUGGAGGACCGAACCGACUUACGUUGAAAAGUGAGCGGAUGAACUGAGGGUAGCGGAGAAAUUCCAAUCGAACUUGGAGAUAGCUGGUUCUCUCCGAAAUAGCUUUAGGGCUAGCCUCAAGUGAUGAUUAUUGGAGGUAGAGCACUGUUUGGACGAGGGGCCCCUCUCGGGUUACCGAAUUCAGACAAACUCCGAAUGCCAAAUAAUUUAACUUGGGAGUCAGAAUGUGGGUGAUAAGGUCCAUAUUCGAAAGGGAAACAGCCCAGACCACCAGCUAAGGUCCCAAAAUAUAUGUUAAGUGGAAAAGGAUGUGGCGUUGCCCAGACAACUAGGAUGUUGGCUUAGAAGCAGCCAUCAUUUAAAGAGUGCGUAAUAGCUCACUAGUCGAGUGACACUGCGCCGAAAAUGUACCGGGGCUAAACAUAU
This 645-nucleotide ribosomal RNA is filed under the name Staphylococcus pseudintermedius. Its description in RNAcentral is "partial 23S ribosomal RNA". It matches the Rfam family "Bacterial large subunit ribosomal RNA", at positions 545 to 1191 of the family's 2925-position model. Lineage: Bacteria; Bacillati; Bacillota; Bacilli; Caryophanales; Staphylococcaceae. The record is from RNAcentral.